RNAcentral lists this ribosomal RNA (400 nucleotides) under Salmonella enterica subsp. indica. RNAcentral's name for it is "bacterial SSU rRNA". It matches the Rfam family "Bacterial small subunit ribosomal RNA", at positions 1 to 397 of the family's 1533-position model. The record is from RNAcentral. Lineage: Bacteria; Pseudomonadati; Pseudomonadota; Gammaproteobacteria; Enterobacterales; Enterobacteriaceae.
AAAUUGAAGAGUUUGAUCAUGGCUCAGAUUGAACGCUGGCGGCAGGCCUAACACAUGCAAGUCGAACGGUAACAGGAAGCAGCUUGCUGCUUCGCUGACGAGUGGCGGACGGGUGAGUAAUGUCUGGGAAACUGCCUGGUGGAGGGGGAUAACUACUGGAAACGGUGGCUAAUACCGCAUAACGUCGCAAGACCAAAGAGGGGGACCUUCGGGCCUCUUGCCAUCAGAUGUGCCCAGAUGGGAUUAGCUUGUUGGUGAGGUAACGGCUCACCAAGGCGACGAUCCCUAGCUGGUCUGAGAGGAUGACCAGCCACACUGGAACUGAGACACGGUCCAGACUCCUACGGGAGGCAGCAGUGGGGAAUAUUGCACAAUGGGCGCAAGCCUGAUGCAGCCAUGC